RNAcentral lists this ribosomal RNA (350 nucleotides) under uncultured bacterium. RNAcentral describes it as "partial 16S ribosomal RNA". It matches the Rfam family "Bacterial small subunit ribosomal RNA", at positions 491 to 835 of the family's 1533-position model. The record is from RNAcentral.
CACCGGUAAAUACGUGGCAGCAGCCCCGGGAAUACCGAGGGGGGAAGGGGUGUCCGGAUUUCUCUGCUUAGAAAAAGGAGGGGAGGGGGGUUCUGAAAGACUGAUGUGAAAGCCCCCCGGGUCAACCGGGGGAAUGGCAUUGGAAACUGGGAGACUUGAGUGCAGAAGAGGAGAGUGGAAUUCCAUGUGUAGCGGUGAAAUGCGUAGAGAUAUGGAGGAACACCGAUGGCGAAGGCGGCUCUCUGGGCUGAGACUGACGCUGAUGCUCGAAAGCGUGGGGAGCAAACAGGAUUAGAUACCUUGUUUUUUUUACGCCCUAAACGAUGAGUGCUAAUUGUUGGAGGGUUUCC